This 788-nucleotide ribosomal RNA is filed under the name uncultured bacterium. RNAcentral's name for it is "bacterial SSU rRNA". It matches the Rfam family "Bacterial small subunit ribosomal RNA", at positions 9 to 795 of the family's 1533-position model. The record is from RNAcentral.
GAGUUUGAUCCUGGCUCAGAACGAACGCUGGCGGCGCGCCUAACACAUGCAAGUCGAACGAGAGGCUCUUCGGAGUAGUAAAGUGGCGAACGGGUGAGUAAUACAUGGGUAAUCUGCCUUCGAGCAGGGGAUAACCAGCCGAAAGGCUGGCUAAUACCCCAUACGCUUCCGGUCCUUCGGGUAAGGAAGGAAAGCUGCAUCGUGGAUGUGGCACUCGAAGAUGGGCCCAUGGCCUAUCAGCUUGUUGGUGGGGUAAUGGCCUACCAAGGCAACGACGGGUAGCUGGUCUGAGAGGACGAUCAGCCACACUGGCACUGAGAUACGGGCCAGACUCCUACGGGAGGCAGCAGUGAGGAAUCUUGCGCAAUGGGCGAAAGCCUGACGCAGCGACGCCGCGUGGGGGAAGAAGGUUUUCGGAUUGUAAACCCCUUUUAGGAGGAAAGAUGGGGUGGUUCGCCACCCGGACGGUACCUCCAGAAAAAGCCACGGCUAACUUCGUGCCAGCAGCCGCGGUAAUACGAAGGUGGCGAGCGUUGUUCGGAUUUACUGGGCGUAAAGAGCACGUAGGCGGUUUAGUAAGCCCCUUGGGAAAGCUACGGGCUUAACCCGUAAAGGUCGAGGGGGACUGCUAAGCUAGAGGGCGGGAGAGGAGCGCGGAAUUUCCGGUGUAGCGGUGAAAUGCGUAGAUAUCGGGAAGAAGGCCGGUGGCGAAGGCGGCGCUCUGGAACGUCUCUGACGCUGAGGUGCGAAAGCGUGGGGAGCAAACAGGAUUAGAUACCCUGGUAGUC